UAUUUUAGUACUACCUUUUUU
Molecule: non-coding RNA, 21 nt
Filed under: Caenorhabditis elegans
Lineage: Eukaryota; Metazoa; Nematoda; Chromadorea; Rhabditida; Rhabditidae
Source: RNAcentral